CGUGUGUCAGGGAAUAGGUACAAGUGCGACGGAGGAAACUUAUGAAGGCUUGAAAUGAGAAAAAGCAAUUUAUAACAAAAUGAUGUUACUAGGUAUAUAUGUGUUCAUUCAGCUGAUAAAUUUUAGAUGCUUAUGCAAAAAUGCAAGACUGAGACAGCGAUGGGAAUUCUCCCCUGGAAUGUGGUAUUUGCGAAAAGAAAUUCCUUUUACGGUGUGGGCUUCAACGUCAUUUGUCGUCACAUGAAACAACAAACUACCAGGAUACAUGAUUUGUUCAUUAAAACUGUUGUUGUUUUUUCUCCAAAUAAUUGUACACAUGUUAUAUCUGAAACAUUUGGAAUAAAUUAACUUAAUUCGUUUAAAA
Mercenaria mercenaria is the source of this 364-nucleotide long non-coding RNA. RefSeq lists it as uncharacterized. NCBI's taxonomy places the organism in Eukaryota, Metazoa, Mollusca, Bivalvia, Venerida, Veneridae. The transcript is spliced from 3 exons. The record is from RefSeq and is a predicted model, not a curated record.